CCUAACAGGGCAACAUGACAGGGAAAAGAUAACUUCUGGAAAAGGAUAUACAGUUCUACAACGUAAGAAAAGAUGCAGGGUCCAAGGGAGUAACAGUACUUGGAAAAUCUGUUCUUGGUCCAGCAAGUGAGUAGUAUGCAAGUAUAUGUGCUGGAUGCUCGAUGGACACAGGUUCCCUAUCCGGAGCAUUAAUAGUAACUCCUCUUGAAGGAAUUAACUCGAUAUUCCAGAAUGGGCGAGCCAUGACUAAUAGAUCACGGCCUGUUUCAGAUGCUCUAUACCCUUGCACCC
This 291-nucleotide long non-coding RNA is filed under the name Vitis vinifera (wine grape). RNAcentral describes it as "long non-coding RNA (VVIN_LNC004057)". Lineage: Eukaryota; Viridiplantae; Streptophyta; Magnoliopsida; Vitales; Vitaceae. The record is from RNAcentral.